GCAUGAGCAGCGCCUCCGCGCCUGGCCCGGCGCCCGCCAGCCUCACGCUCUGGGACGAGGAGGACUUCCAGGGCCGUCGCUGUCGGCUGCUGAGCGACUGUGCGAACGUCUGCGAGCGCGGAGGCCUGCCCAGGGUGCGCUCGGUCAAGGUGGAAAACGGCGUUUGGGUGGCCUUUGAGUACCCCGACUUCCAGGGACAGCAGUUCAUUCUGGAAAAGGGAGACUAUCCUCGCUGGAGCGCCUGGAGUGGCAGCAGCAGCCACAAUAGCAACCAGCUGCUGUCCUUCCGGCCAGUGCUCUGCGCGGUGAGCACAGCCCACUUCUCCUCCUCUGCCUCCUAGCUCCAGGCCCUGGCCUCACCGUGGCGCCUAGAAAGGCUGUUCAAGCCCUGCAUGGGGGGUGUGUAAAUAAACUCCCAGAUGGGUGGUAGUAGCAUUAUUUCUCAGCAUCAGAAGGGUGUCUCCAAGAAAGUUGGGAUUGUGGGCGUAGGCCCGGAGUCCAGAAAUCAUCACCACGGACAGCGCUGAGGCCAUCCCAGUCCUGAGCGCCCAGGGUUUCCC
Molecule: small RNA, 560 nt
Filed under: Pongo abelii (Sumatran orangutan)
Lineage: Eukaryota; Metazoa; Chordata; Mammalia; Primates; Hominidae
Description: retained intron
Source: RNAcentral